RNAcentral lists this long non-coding RNA (408 nucleotides) under Dicentrarchus labrax (European seabass). Its description in RNAcentral is "lncRNA (ENSDLAG00005034870.1)". The record is from RNAcentral. Lineage: Eukaryota; Metazoa; Chordata; Actinopteri; Moronidae.
UCUCACGCAAUGCAUGCUGGGAUAUACAGUAGGGUCCACGCUACAGCCCCAUGAGACCUGGUUCAGGAAGGUGUUGGAUUCCCCUCCCCUUUAAACAGUCCCAGAAGACGCCGUAUGAUUAUUGCCAAGAUGAGGCUGUCACACCGGUAAUCCUCCCCUCGGCUCCAUCGGAAGGAUUGUUCCUGUGGAUGUCAAGAUUUCCUCCUGGCUGGCGGUCUGACCCAGGUCCUCCUCCUGUGACCCUGUGGAUGAUUGCUGUGACUGAGACGUGUUUGAUCCCUGCGCUGAUGCUGGGCUUUUGAUGGCCACCCCACUUUGAUGCCGCAACAAGAUUGAAUCCAACCACCCUCUGUGACACACAUAGACACCGUCCAAAUAGCACCAUCAGACCUCGUAUCUAAACAGGAG